Molecule: ribosomal RNA, 460 nt
Filed under: uncultured bacterium
Lineage: Bacteria
Description: partial 16S ribosomal RNA
Rfam family: Bacterial small subunit ribosomal RNA
Source: RNAcentral
CCUACGGGAGGCAGCAGUGAGGAAUAUUGGUCAAUGGGCGGAAGCCUGAACCAGCCAAGUAGCGUGCAGGAUGACGGCCCUACGGGUUGUAAACUGCUUUUAUACGGGACUAACGCGCCUUACGUGUAGGGCUUUGCAUGUACCGUAUGAAUAAGGACUGGCUAAUUCCUUGCCAGCCGCCGCGGUAAAACGGAAGGUCCUGGCGUUAUCCGGAUUUAUUGGGUUUAGAGGGAGCGUAGGCGGCAUGUCAGGGGUGCUGUGAAAUGUCCGGGCUCAACCCGGGGCUUGCAGCGCGAACUGGCGUGCUUGAGUCCGCGGAAAGCAGGCGGAAUUCGUCGUGUAGCGGUGAAAUGCUUAGAUAUGACGAAGAACCCCGAGUGCGAAGGCAGCUUGCUGCAGCGGAACUGACGCUGAUGCUCGAAAGCGCGGGUAUCGAACAGGAUUAGAUACCCUGGUAGUC